GUUGAACGCUGGCGGCAGGCCUAACACAUGCAAGUCGAGCGAGCGGCGGACGGGUGAGUAAUGUCUGGGAAACUGCCUGAUGGAGGGGGAUAACUACUGGAAACGGUAGCUAAUACCGCAUACCAUCAGAUGUGCCCAUAUGGUAUUAGCUAGUAGGUGGGGGAAAGGCUCACCUAGGCGACGCUCCCUAGCUGGGCUGAGAGGAUGACCAGCCACACUGGAACUGAGACACGGUUCAGACUCCUACGGUAGGCAGCAGUGGGGAAUAUUGCACAAUGGGCGCAAGCCUGAUUCAGCCAUGCCGCGUGUUUGAAGAAGGCCUUCGGGUUGUACAGCACUUUCAGCGAGGAGGCGUUACUCGCAGAAGAAGCACCGGCUAACUCCGUGCCAGCAGCCGCGGUAAUAC
This 406-nucleotide ribosomal RNA is filed under the name uncultured bacterium. RNAcentral's name for it is "partial 16S ribosomal RNA". It matches the Rfam family "Bacterial small subunit ribosomal RNA", at positions 28 to 526 of the family's 1533-position model. The record is from RNAcentral.